RNAcentral lists this ribosomal RNA (253 nucleotides) under uncultured bacterium. Its description in RNAcentral is "partial 16S ribosomal RNA". It matches the Rfam family "Bacterial small subunit ribosomal RNA", at positions 524 to 776 of the family's 1533-position model. The record is from RNAcentral.
UACGAAGGUGGCAAGCGUUGUUCGGAUUUACUGGGCGUACAGGGAGCGUAGGCGGUUGGGUAAGCCCUCCGUGAAAUCUCCGGGCCUAACCCGGAAAGUGCGGAGGGGACUGCUCAGCUAGAGGAUGGGAGAGGAGCGCGGAAUUCCCGGUGUAGCGGUGAAAUGCGUAGAGAUCGGGAGGAAGGCCGGUGGCGAAGGCGGCGCUCUGGAACAUUUCUGACGCUGAGGCGCGAAAGCUAGGGGAGUGAACGGG